AGUUCUGCAGCACCCUCUGUGGCAGCUGAGAGCAGGCCCUCUGCAGAAGAGAGCCAGGGGCAUGGAGAGUUCAGGCCUCCAGCAGAGGGAGUGCAGAUAUGGGGAAAGCUGACCCCUGGAGUCAGCAGGCCCAGCCCUAGGAGGGGGCAGUCCCACAGCAGGCUCACACCCUGCCCUUCAGAGUUGCAGCAGCUAAUGCUGAUGCCAGGACCUUGUCCUGCCAGGAAGCCUCUGAUUAGGGCUGUGAACCAACUUCCUUUUCACAUCUGCAAGGACACUUGGAGGCAACUGCCCAAGGCCACUCUGAGGAGGGUUGAAUGUUCUUUAUUAAAAGGACUGAGGAUCAUGUGUGUUGGUGGGCCUUGGACUCUG
RNAcentral lists this long non-coding RNA (372 nucleotides) under Homo sapiens (human). RNAcentral's name for it is "non-protein coding TRG-AS1:13". Lineage: Eukaryota; Metazoa; Chordata; Mammalia; Primates; Hominidae. The record is from RNAcentral.